Molecule: ribosomal RNA, 301 nt
Filed under: uncultured bacterium
Lineage: Bacteria
Description: partial 16S ribosomal RNA
Rfam family: Bacterial small subunit ribosomal RNA
Source: RNAcentral
CAGUCGCCACGGGAAUACAGAGGGUGCGAGCGUUAAUCGGAUUUACUGGGCGUAAAGCGUGCGUAGGCGGCUUCUUAAGUCGGAUGUGAAAUCCCUUAGCUUAACUUAGGAAUUGCAUUCGAUACUGGGAAGCUAGAGUAUGGGAGAGGAUGGUAGAAUUCCAGGUGUAGCGGUGAAAUGCGUAGAGAUCUGGAGGAAUACCGAUGGCGAAGGCAGCCAUCUGGCCUAAUACUGACGCUGAGGUACGAAAGCAUGGGGAGCAAACAGGAUUAGAUACCCGGGUAGUCCCUGUCUCUUAUAC